Molecule: ribosomal RNA, 94 nt
Filed under: uncultured bacterium
Lineage: Bacteria
Description: partial 16S ribosomal RNA
Rfam family: Bacterial small subunit ribosomal RNA
Source: RNAcentral
CCGCGUGAGUGAUGAAGGCCUUCGGGUUGUAAAGCUCUUUCGCUUGUGAAGAUAAUGACGGUAACAAGAUAAGAAGUCCCGGCUAACUCCGUGC